Molecule: ribosomal RNA, 649 nt
Filed under: uncultured bacterium
Lineage: Bacteria
Description: bacterial SSU rRNA
Rfam family: Bacterial small subunit ribosomal RNA
Source: RNAcentral
AGAGUUUGAUCCUGGCUCAGAAUCAACGCUGGCGGCGUGCCUAACACAUGCAAGUCGAACGAGAAAGCCCCGGCUUGCCGGGGUGAGUAAAGUGGCGCACGGGUGAGUAACACGUGGAUAACCUACCCUUCAGUGGGGAAUAACUCUGGGAAACCGGAGAUAAUACCGCAUAAUAUCCGGUGACUGCGGUCGCUGGAUUGAAACCCGGAAACGGGGCUGAUGGAGGGGUCCGCGGCCGAUUAGCUAGUUGGUGAGGUAACGGCCCACCAAGGCGAGGAUCGGUAGCCGGCCUGAGAGGGCGGACGGCCACACUGGAACUGAAACACGGUCCAGACUCCUACGGGAGGCAGCAGUGGGGAAUUUUGCGCAAUGGGGGCAACCCUGACGCAGCAACGCCGCGUGGACGAUGAAGCCCCUUGGGGUGUAAAGUCCUUUCGGCAGGGACGAAGCCCGAGCAAUCGGGCGGACGGUACCUGAAGAAGAAGCCCCGGCUAACUCCGUGCCAGCAGCCGCGGUAAUACGGGGGGGGCAAGCGUUGUUCGGAAUUAUUGGGCGUAAAGGGCGUGUAGGCGGUGCGGCAAGUCUGGUGUGAAACCUCCCGGCUCAACCGGGAGCCUGCAUCAGAAACUGCCGUGCUAGAGUGUGGGAG